UUUCAUAACCAUUCAGAGUAUCACCAAAACAGAGACUGUCUUCUGCCCCUGAAUGAGCAUGAGAAAAGCCUUUCCUAGACAACCAUUGCACCUGUCUCCUAACAUCCAUUAAAAGGUCACACUCAAUGGUUAUAUCAGGCUGCAAUAUAAGGCUGAGUACUUAUCUAUGCCAAGCUGAGGCCAGCUAUAACCAACCUGACUCAGCAGCAGGAGAGUGACUGUAUGCUCUUCUAGGACUUGGAGAACAUUAUUACACUUCCUAUCCAUGGAAAUAUCUAACAGAUGCCAUGUCUUCUCUGAGAAGGCUUUCUACAGAAAUCAUUUGACAGAACCUGGAGUCAUCUUUGGUUGUCAUGAUGGGAGGAUGCAGGAGGAUGGAAGGAGUUAUGUGAUCUGUACCUGGCGUGAAGAUAACAAGGAUAUUGAUACACAGCACAGCACAGCCCACUCACUGAACAUAUCCCUACCCUCCCCAAGCCAGCAGUAACAAGGUUGAAAAACCCUGAGGUACAACGUAAAUAUAUGCAAUUUCUGGGGAGACUGGCAGUCCUUUCAUAUCUACUUGGUCUGUUAGAUGGGAAUCCAAUUUGAAGAUAUUUGAUAAGGACUAUGAUCUGUCACCUGG
This 625-nucleotide long non-coding RNA is filed under the name Mus musculus (house mouse). RNAcentral describes it as "RIKEN cDNA A230103O09 gene". Lineage: Eukaryota; Metazoa; Chordata; Mammalia; Rodentia; Muridae. The record is from RNAcentral.